GCUGCCCUCUUUCUUCUUGCCUAAUACAUGCAAGUCGAGCGAACAGACGAGGAGCUUGCUCCUCUGACGUUAGCGGCGGACGGGUGAGUAACACGUGGAUAACCUACCUAUAAGACUGGGAUAACUUCGGGAAACCGGAGCUAAUACCGGAUAAUAUAUUGAACCGCAUGGUUCAAUAGUGAAAGACGGUUUUGCUGUCACUUAUAGAUGGAUCCGCGCCGCAUUAGCUAGUUGGUAAGGUAACGGCUUACCAAGGCAACGAUGCGUAGCCGACCUGAGAGGGUGAUCGGCCACACUGGAACUGAGACACGGUCCAGACUCCUACGGGAGGCAGCAGUAGGGAAUCUUCCGCAAUGGGCGAAAGCCUGACGGAGCAACGCCGCGUGAGUGAUGAAGGUCUUCGGAUCGUAAAACUCUGUUAUUAGGGAAGAACAAAUGUGUAAGUAACUAUGCACGUCUUGACGGUACCUAAUCAGAAAGCCACGGCUAACUACGUG
Molecule: ribosomal RNA, 497 nt
Filed under: uncultured bacterium
Lineage: Bacteria
Description: partial 16S ribosomal RNA
Rfam family: Bacterial small subunit ribosomal RNA
Source: RNAcentral